GACGAACGCUGGCGGCGUGCUUAACACAUGCAAGUCGAACGGAAAGGCCCUGCUUUUGUGGGGUGCUCGAGUGGCGAACGGGUGAGUAACACGUGAGUAACCUGCCCUUGACUUUGGGAUAACUUCAGGAAACUGGGUCUAAUACCGGAUAGGAGCUCCUGCUGCAUGGUGGGGGUUGGAAAGUUUCGGCGGUUGGUGUUGGACUCGCGUCUUAUCGGCUUGUUGGUGGGGUAGUGGAUUACCAAGGCCUUGACGGGUAGCAGGCCUGGGAGGGUGACAGGCCAAGUUGGGACUGAGAUGCGGCCCAGACUCGUACGGGAGGCAGGAGUGGGGAAUAUUGCACAGUGGGCGGAAGGCUGAUGCAGCAAAGCCGCGUGGGGGAUGACGGGAAUGGGGUUGGAAACCGAUUUCGCCUGUGACGAAGCGUGAGUGACGGUAAUGGGUAAAGAAGCACCGGCUAACUACGUG
This 468-nucleotide ribosomal RNA is filed under the name uncultured bacterium. RNAcentral describes it as "partial 16S ribosomal RNA". It matches the Rfam family "Bacterial small subunit ribosomal RNA", at positions 28 to 507 of the family's 1533-position model. The record is from RNAcentral.